AGGCACAGACUCAGGAAGUUGAGUGGCCGGAGACUGAGACCUCUUUGGCCAUGAACCAAGAUGGCUGUUAUGGUUCAGUCCACUUCACAGAUGGGUCCUCCAGGGAUGCCUGCCAGCAAAAACAAACAAGAUGACGUGGCCCUAGACCACUUCUCUUACAUAAUGGAGAGCUUCUGUACUGGCCCUGUGUCUACAAACUGUGUGUCCGGGAUAGAAAGCUUCCCAGAAGCACACAGCACAGACAGGAGAGGUAAGAA
Peromyscus eremicus (cactus mouse) is the source of this 257-nucleotide long non-coding RNA. RefSeq lists it as uncharacterized. NCBI's taxonomy places the organism in Eukaryota, Metazoa, Chordata, Mammalia, Rodentia, Cricetidae. The record is from RefSeq and is a predicted model, not a curated record. The transcript has 3 exons.